This 491-nucleotide ribosomal RNA is filed under the name uncultured bacterium. RNAcentral's name for it is "partial 16S ribosomal RNA". It matches the Rfam family "Bacterial small subunit ribosomal RNA", at positions 29 to 506 of the family's 1533-position model. The record is from RNAcentral.
AGUGAACGCUGGCGGUAGGCCUAACACAUGCAAGUCGAACGGCAGCACAGUAAGAGCUUGCUCUUACGGGUGGCGAGUGGCGGACGGGUGAGGAAUACAUCGGAAUCUACUUUUUCGUGGGGGAUAACGUAGGGAAACUUACGCUAAUACCGCAUACGACCUACGGGUGAAAGCAGGGGAUCUUCGGACCUUGCGCGAUUGAAUGAGCCGAUGUCGGAUUAGCUAGUUGGCGGGGUAAGGGCCCACCAAGGCGACGAUCCGUAGCUGGUCUGAGAGGAUGAUCAGCCACACUGGAACUGAGACACGGUCCAGACUCCUACGGGAGGCAGCAGUGGGGAAUAUUGGACAAUGGGCGCAAGCCUGAUCCAGCCAUACCGCGUGGGUGAGGAAGGCCUUCGGGUUGUAAAGCCCUUUUGUUGGGAAAGAAAAGCAGCAGGUUAAUACCCCGCUGUUCUGACGGUACCCAAAGAAUAAGCACCGGCUAACUUCGU